Long non-coding RNA from Olea europaea var. sylvestris, 4224 nucleotides. RefSeq lists it as uncharacterized. The record is from RefSeq and is a predicted model, not a curated record. The transcript is spliced from 2 exons. NCBI's taxonomy places the organism in Eukaryota, Viridiplantae, Streptophyta, Magnoliopsida, Lamiales, Oleaceae.
AAAUGUAACUGCUCUUACAAUAAUGCCACCACUUGCCACAUUAUUGCUCUGUAUAAACAUCUGGCGAAGCGAGGAAUGGACAUCCCGCGAAUCACUCUCAAACUAUCGGAGUCUUAUAAGCAGUCUCGAACAAAUGAGGUCUUACAGUUAAGCUCAACGAUAGUGAGAGACGAGGAAUAAACAUCUUGCGAAGCCAGGUGGCGAAGUGGGAAAUGGACAUCUUGCGAAUCACUCUCAAACUAUCGGAGUCUUAUAAGCGGCAUCGAAUAAACGAGCUUUUACAACUAAGCUCAACGAUAGUGAGAUCAAGGAAUAAACAUCUUGCGAAAUCAGGUGUAAACAUCUGGCGAAGCGGGGAAUGUACAUCCCCCGAAUCACUCUCAAACUAUCGGAGUCUUAUAAGCGGCCUCGAACAAACGAGGUCUUACAGCUAAGCUCAACAAUAGUGAGAUGCGAGGAAUAAACAUCUCGCGAAAUCAGGUAUAAACAUCAGGUGAAACGAGGAAUGGACAUCCCGUGAAUCACUCUCAAACUAUCGGAGUCUUAUAAGCGACCUCGAACAAACGAGAUCUUAUAGCUAAGCUCAACGAUAAUUAGAGGCGAGGAAUAAACAUCUCACGAAGCUAGAUCUAGCGAAGUGGGGAAUGGACAUCCCGCGAAUCACUCUCAAACUAUCGGAGUCAUAUAAGCGGCUUUGGACAAACGAGGUCUUACAGCUAAACUCAACGAUAGUGAGAUGCGAGAAAUAAACAUCUCGCGAAGCCAGGUAUAAACAUCUGGCAAAGCGAGGAAUGGACAUCCCACGAAUCACUCUCAAACUAUUGGAGUCUUAUAAGCGGCCUCGGACAAACGAGGUCUUACAGCUAAGCUCAACGAUAGUGAGAUGAAAGGAAAAACAAUCUUGCGAAGCCAAGUAUAAACAUCUGACGAAAUGGGGAAUGGACAUCCCACGAAUCACUCUCAAACUAUCGGAGUUUUGUAAGCGGCCUCAAACAAACGAGGUCUUAUAGCUAAGCUCAACAAUAGUGAGAGGCGAGGAAAAACCAUCUCGCGAAACCAGGAAAUGCCCUUUUUUUCAAGGGCAAACACAUCUGACCAUCAGCUUCUUCCUUUAUUCAAAGAACGAGGUCUCCAAAACAUUGCAUAUGAUAAGAAGAAAAUAAUAGAUCUGAAUAUUCACAUCAAUGGGCUCCCAAGCAUGUCUAUCAAAUCAUAUCCAGUUUAAUUAGCGCCCAAUAACCAUGAAACUCCAUUAAUUCCCAGUUUGUCGAGUUAAGAUUUGUUAUUUAAUUACCAAACAAAUCAUACGAAAAUGAGGUAGUUAGAAUUUGACUAUCAGAUAAUAAUUUUCACAUGAGUGGAAAUUUUCAAAUGAGCCUGUAAUAAAAACCUCAAGUUUCCUGCCAUGCUCUACCCUUGAAGAAAUAUUAACAAUGGAAGAAAAUCAUCUCUCACAUAUUUUGUCACCUUUUUCUGAACGAGAUAGACCAAGCUGAACAAGUAGAAAUGGUGGCCUGAUGAUCAAAGACUUGGAAUAUUCUUUUUCUACUAGCUUAUUUCUAAUUCUCCAAGUCAAAUAUUUCUGUUCUUUUUCCAUGUGAUUUAGAAUAAACGGCAGGCCAAAAUGGAAGCAAGAGAGGACACCCAGCCAAUAAAAUUUAUACAAGAACGAAGCUGAAGUAGUGUGACCAUAGCUCCCAGCCGUAGUGUAUGUCUCUUGGGUAAACUAGAAAGACCCAAUGGCUAACAAAUUAUGGCCCAAAAGAAAUAAGUCUCAAUGCCCAAUUGUUCAUAAUAAAUGGCAGCCCAAUCUCUUUGACAAAAAGGAAGUGUCAUGAGGCCCAAGUAAAAUAAAUCCUUGGGCCCAAGAAGGCAAAAUAACGGCCCAUUAAAGAAAUUAAAGAACAUAACUAGAGCUUUAUAAAGGAAAGUGGGCCUCUUUCCUAAGGGAAGUAAAAUUAAUUGGCCCAAUUAUUAUUUAUGUAGGAAUGGGAAUAAAAUUUAGGUGGCCCAAUAAUUAUCCAUUCAAGUUCAAAAAAACAUGGGAAAUAAAUUCACAGGCCCAAUUAUACAUACCCGUUUAGUGGAUCUCCAUAAGAGGUCUCCAAGCCCUUUUUUUUUUUGUAAACUCGUUGAACCAAAUUUUGAAAAAAUAAAGCCCCAUCACUUUAUGGGACAACCCGGCCCAACAAGAUGGCAUUAAAUGGCACGUGAUCCAGCUAAAGUCUGGAGAAGAUUUGAGUCUGCAGAACAGCUGGAAGAAAGACAAGAUUGCCUGUCGGAGGUUGGUACAUGUUGAUUGGGCUGCCUCUCUAUUCUUAGCUGGCCCAAUCUUAGUAAUAUUGAGCCUUGCCAGGUUGGUUGAUUCCACGGGUUGAAAUUGGUUUGGAAAUUAAAAGCGUUUCUUGGAAACGCGUUUUUCCUUUAUAAUGGGCAACUGUUGUGGACCUUACACUUGGCAUCCUUGUGAUCGUUGGAUCCUUGAUUUUUACUGGACUGUUAAAAGUCUUCUGACCUUUCACUUUCGCCCUAAUCUGAGUGAACGGUUCUAGGGUUUUCUUCGUCCUCUCUGAGGGUCUUUGGACUCUUCUGUUCUUGCAAUUUUCUGAAAGCAAUAUCUAAUUUGAGUGAUGUUAGGGUUGUAUUUGGUAUAUGAUAUGUGAGAUUGUAGAAAACGGAGUGUUGUGUUAAAGAGAGGCGAAAGAAAACUGAAAUUGAAGGAACUGUUGUUUCUUCAUACAUUCUUGUAUCGAUUCUUUGUGAUUCUUAGUGGAUUUGAGCCUAAUUUACUUUUGUAGAUGCUCAAGGGUGAGUAGGCCUUUUGGCUGGACAUUCGUCCCCUUAGGGGCGAAAAAUUCUUGUGUUCUUUACGAUUCUGUAAUUCUUUAUUGUGUGCUACAAUCGUUUUUAAGUGAAAUAAUAAUUCUGAGACCAACAAGUGGUAUCAGAGCAGUUUACGAAGGGUUAGGGUUUUUUCUUUGAAUUUUCUUUUUAAAUUUUUUUUAAAAACCCUAGAUCUUAGAUUUUUUGGUUAAAUCUUAAAUCGAGUACACUUUGUAAAAAUCUCUUACAAGAUUUACCUUCGGUUCAAUUUUUGUUGGAUCUUUUUCAACUACGAACUUUGUGAUACUUCUUUGUGAUAUUAUUUAUGAUGAUUAUUGUAUUUUUCUUAUUUUUUUGAGGCUUCUGAAUCUUUGAGUGAUGUUUCAUAAAGAUUCAUACUGAGUAAUAGUGAGUCUACUCGACUCAUUCCGAUUCCUGCUGAUUUCUUGUUGAUCGGUAUUAAAUGGCACGCUGCAAGUGCACAGGUCGCGAUCAAGUAGUAUAAUGGACCUUUUAAGUCCCAGUCGAUCCCUCAGAGAGUGUUGUUUUCAAUUACGAGUGUAUUUUUUUCAAAUUAAUGAAAAAGAUGCACACAUUUAAAAGUUCGAUUUUUAAAAACUAUAAAAAGGUGAAAACUCGAUUUUGAUUUAAAAUAUUUAAAUAAUAUUUAAAAAGUGGAAAAGUUUGAUUUUAAAAGAUGUUGGAAUUUAUGAUUUCGCUUAACCCUUUUCAAGCCAAUUAUGCGUCGAUGCAAAUUACCAAAAUAUGUGGUUAGACCCGAUUUUUCAAAAUUAGUCAAUAACCUUUGUUGAGAGAUAUCAACCCUAAUUGCUUGGCAUUAACAUAUUUCUAUGUCGUUCUAAACCAAACAACUGCAUUUAAUUUUUGUGAAAAUAACUCAACGGGUCACAUAGGGUAAGUAUACGUGUCUGGAUAGCGUAUAGUCGAAACCAUACAAACCUAUGGUAUUAAUUAUUUCGGUCUAUUAUGUGUAACUAUUUUUCAAUAAUUAUACAACUACCUAACCACAAUAUCUAUUGACGUCAAAUAAAUGUAGUAAUCUUAAACAUGAUAAUUAAUACACCAAUAUUUUGAUAACAAAUGCAUAUCUAACAACAUAUAACACGAUAUUAAUGAAAAUAGGUUAAGCUAAUACAUAAAUUCCAACAUAAACUUGUUUAGUUCAUCAUUCUAACAAAAUAACAAAAAGAUUCUUAUAAACAUAUCAUUACAAACAUGAAGAACUAAAUGAAAGGAAUACAAAAGUUGAGAUAAAACACUUUUAAAUACGAAUUGUAAUUCCUUCAAUGUAUUCUUCAAGCUUUCCUUAAUGAUCUCCUUGCUAUAUCCACUUGAUUCCCAAAAUAAAACUAAAAUUAACAAAAGAAAAUAAAACUAAAA